Molecule: ribosomal RNA, 408 nt
Filed under: uncultured bacterium
Lineage: Bacteria
Description: partial 16S ribosomal RNA
Rfam family: Bacterial small subunit ribosomal RNA
Source: RNAcentral
GACGAACGCUGGCGGCGUGCUUAACACAUGCAAGUCGAACGAAGUGGCGAACGGGUGAGUAACGCGGAAUCAACCUGCCCUUCAGACGGGGACAACAGUUUGAAACGACUGCUAAUACCCCAUACUGUAGGAGGGGAUUGCGUCUGAUUAGCUGGUGGGAGGGGUAACGGCCCACCAAGGCGAAGAUCAGUAGCCGGUCUGAGAGGAUGAACGGCCACAUUGGGAAUGGGACACGGCCCAGACUCCUACGGGAGGCAGCAGGGGGGAAUCUUCGGAAAUGGACGAAAGUCUGACGGAGCAACGCCGCGUGAGUGAUGACGGCCUUCGGGUUGUAAAGCUCUGUUAAUCGGGACGCGGUACCGGAAUAGAAAGCCACGGCUAACUACGUGCCAGCAGCCGCGGUAAUUC